RNAcentral lists this transfer RNA (64 nucleotides) under Utra nitida. RNAcentral describes it as "tRNA-Thr". The record is from RNAcentral. Lineage: Eukaryota; Metazoa; Arthropoda; Insecta; Coleoptera; Cerambycidae.
GUUUUAAUAAUUUAUAUAAAAUACUGGUCUUGUAAACCAGAAAUGAGAAAAGUCUCUUAAAAUA